RNAcentral lists this ribosomal RNA (50 nucleotides) under Sydowia polyspora. RNAcentral's name for it is "partial 18S ribosomal RNA". Lineage: Eukaryota; Fungi; Ascomycota; Dothideomycetes; Dothideales; Dothioraceae. The record is from RNAcentral.
CUUGGUCAUUUAGAGGAAGAAAAGUGUAACAAGGUUUCCGUAGGUGACCU